AUACAGAGGGUGCGAGCGUUAAUCGGAAUUACUGGGCGUAAAGCGCGCGUAGGCGGCUUAUUAAGUCAGAUGUGAAAUCCCCGGGCUCAACCUGGGAACUGCAUCUGAUACUGGUAAGCUAGAGUUUGAGAGAGGGAAGUAGAAUUUCAGGUGUAGCGGUGAAAUGCAUAGAGAUCUGAAGGAAUACCAGUGGCGAAGGCGACUUCCUGGCCUAAAACUGACGCUGAGGUGCGAAAGCGUGGGUAGCAAACGGGAUUAGAUACCCGGGUAGUCC
This 274-nucleotide ribosomal RNA is filed under the name uncultured bacterium. RNAcentral describes it as "partial 16S ribosomal RNA". It matches the Rfam family "Bacterial small subunit ribosomal RNA", at positions 523 to 796 of the family's 1533-position model. The record is from RNAcentral.